This is a non-coding RNA of Lolium perenne, 887 nucleotides long. Lineage: Eukaryota; Viridiplantae; Streptophyta; Magnoliopsida; Poales; Poaceae. The record is from RefSeq and is a predicted model, not a curated record.
UCGAGUCCUUAUCCUAUUAGUCUUAAUUUAAGACAAAUAAGUAACAUACUAAAAAUGAAUGAAAAUAUGGAUGUUAGUUGCUUUAAUAUGGCUGUACGGAUACUGGCGUGGCACGACAUCCAGCUUGCUAGGGAUGUCCCAGUCCACUACAUGGAUUUGAACUUCUGUUUGAUGUCUCAAUAUGCACGAGAUCCAAGUCGUAGUGACUAUCCUGACGUUGCUCGGUUGGCUCAGUUGUUUCUUAGCUGGCCUGAUAGCAAUGAGUAUCAUAUAUCUGAAUGCAAUAUGAUUUUAUUGCCUUGGGAUAUUGUUGGGUUAUUCCAGUUGUUCGUCUUCGAUCGGCACAAAAAAGUUAUCUCUUUUUUGGACCCGCUUCCAAUACCAUAUUUGGCGAAGACUAUACUUAAAAAUGUGCCCGAUAAUUUUAAUCUUGCCCUCGAAGUUGCAAACCCUGCAUCAAAGGAUGACAUAACUAAAUGGGGUUGCAAGGCUCCCAAAGUUCCAACAAAUCUAGAUGAGUAUGAAUCUUAACAAUGUGUUACAAUCUUAACGUAUUUAUUCGACCCGCAAUGUAACAUAAUAUGCAUGCAGUGCUCUGUCGGGUUAUUUGGUUUUUGAGUUCAUGCAUUCAUGGUACGAUGGAUUGCUACAUUUUCCAGUACCCACGGACGGUUUUCAACUAAGGAAGCGAUUUUUGGUUCACAUCCUGAAGUAUGAAGCAAAUGAAGCUUUAAGCAAUAUCCCAGCCAUUGCACGAAGCCUUAUUGAUCGCAUGAAAAAGUGGACCUUCAAGAAAGAACCGUCAUCAGCGAAUAAAUAGAAGAUACAAUGUUGCUUAGUUAUUUUAUCUGUCACUCAUAUUUCGCCAUGUAUCAAGAAUACAUAGA